Leptinotarsa decemlineata (Colorado potato beetle) is the source of this 379-nucleotide RNA transcript. RefSeq lists it as uncharacterized. NCBI's taxonomy places the organism in Eukaryota, Metazoa, Arthropoda, Insecta, Coleoptera, Chrysomelidae. The record is from RefSeq and is a predicted model, not a curated record.
CAAGUUAUGACUUGUCAUAAUGAAUUCGUUGACAUCUGUUCGGUUUUCUCUACGCAAUAAUCUGUUGCGAUGAAACCAUGAGAGAGGGGAGAAGGUUAUUGACAACUUGUUUCCUUCGGAAAGGAAAAACCAUUUCCGGAAGAUGCAGGGAGGAGCUCGUUCUAUUUACGGAAUACCUCAAAGAUUAUCCUGUGGUUUUGAGUGCUGGCAACUUCUUUGAGUUGACGAGGAACAAUUUACUCAAUCAUUUAGGCGUGGUGGCGACAUAUUUGAUUAUAUUCACUCAAUUGAGUAAUUUCCAUGUUUAGUGGGUUCCUGUUACAUUUUUCCAUGUAAUAUAUUUAUGAGCACAAUUAAUAAAUUUAUCUGACUAACAGCA